Molecule: ribosomal RNA, 497 nt
Filed under: uncultured bacterium
Lineage: Bacteria
Description: partial 16S ribosomal RNA
Rfam family: Bacterial small subunit ribosomal RNA
Source: RNAcentral
GAUGAACGCUGGCGGCGUGCCUAAUACAUGCAAGUCGAGCGAACGGACGAGAAGCUUGCUUCUCUGAUGUUAGCGGCGGACGGGUGAGUAACACGUGGAUAACCUACCUAUAAGACUGGGAUAACUUCGGGAGACCGGAGCUAAUACCGGAUGAUAUUUUGAACCGCAUGGUUCAAAAGUGAAAGACGGUCUUGCUGUCACUUAUAGAUGGAUCCGCGCUGCAUUAGCUAGUUGGUAAGGUAACGGCUUACCAAGGCAACGAUGCAUAGCCGACCUGAGAGGGUGAUCGGCCACACUGGAACUGAGACACGGUCCAGACUCCUACGGGAGGCAGCAGUAGGGAAUCUUCCGCAAUGGGCGAAAGCCUGACAGAGCAACGCCGCGUGAGUGAUGAAGGUCUUCGGAUCGUAAAACUCUGUUAUUAGGGAAGAACAUAUGUGUAAGUAACUGUGCACAUCUUGACGGUACCUAAUCAGAAAGCCACGGCUAACUACGUG